GCCUCAGUAACGGCGAGUGAAGCGGCAACAGCUCAAAUUUGAAAUCUGGGGCCUUCGGCUUCCGAGUUGUAAUUUGAAGAGGAUGUUUCGGUGCGACCUGGGCCUAAGUUCCUUGGAACAGGACGUCAUGGAGGGUGAGAAUCCCGUACAUGGCUGCAGGUUUGCUUCUAUGUGAAACUCCUUCGAAGAGUCGAGUUGUUUGGGAAUGCAGCUCAAAAUGGGUGGUAAAUUUCAUCUAAAGCUAAAUAUUGGCGGGAGACCGAUAGCGCACAAGUAGAGUGAUCGAAAGAUGAAAAGCACUUUGAAAAGAGAGUUAAACAGUACGUGAAAUUGUUGAAAGGGAAGCGCUUGCAAUCAGACUCGCCUUCAGUUGAUCAGCCUUCCUUCUGGUUGGUGCACUCUGCUGUUGGCGGGCCAGCAUCAGUUGGGGCGGUGGGACAAAGGCGGCAGGAAUGUGGCUCGCUUCGGUGAGUGUUAUAGCCUGCUGUGUCAUGCCACCAGUCCCGACUGAGGUCCGCGGUUCGCCUAGGAUGCUGGCUUAAUGGUUGUAAGCGACCCGUCUUGAAACACGGACCAAGGAGUCUAACAUCUAUGCGAGU
Molecule: ribosomal RNA, 599 nt
Filed under: Orbilia blumenaviensis
Lineage: Eukaryota; Fungi; Ascomycota; Orbiliomycetes; Orbiliales; Orbiliaceae
Description: partial large subunit ribosomal RNA
Rfam family: Eukaryotic large subunit ribosomal RNA
Source: RNAcentral